GACGAACUGUCCUAACGUUGUUCGGAAUCACUGGGCUUAAAGGGCGCGUAGGCGGUCCGACAAGUCAGGGGUGAAAUCCUGCAGCUCAACUGUAGAAGUGCCUUUGAUACUGUCGGUCUUGAGGGAAAUAGGGGUGUGCGGAACUUCCAGUGGAGCGGUGAAAUGCGUUGAUAUUGGAAGGAACGCCGGAGGCGAAAGCGGCGCACUGGAUUUCUUCUGACGCUGAGGCGCGAAAGCUAGGGGAGCAAACGGG
Molecule: ribosomal RNA, 253 nt
Filed under: uncultured bacterium
Lineage: Bacteria
Description: partial 16S ribosomal RNA
Rfam family: Bacterial small subunit ribosomal RNA
Source: RNAcentral